UGGCGGCAGGCCUAACACAUGCAAGUCGAGCGGUAGAGAGAAGCUUGCUCCUCUUGAGAGCGGCGGACGGGUGAGUAAUGCCUAGGAAUCUGCCUGGUAGUGGGGGAUAACGUUCGGAAACGGACGCUAAUACCGCAUACGUCCUACGGGAGAAAGCAGGGGACCUUCGGGCCUUGCGCUAUCAGAUGAGCCUAGGUCGGAUUAGCUAGUUGGUGAGGUAAUGGCUCACCAAGGCGACGAUCCGUAACUGGUCUGAGAGGAUGAUCAGUCACACUGGAACUGAGACACGGUCCAGACUCCUACGGGAGGCAGCAGUGGGGAAUAUUGGACAAUGGGCGAAAGCCUGAUCCAGCCAUGCCGCGUGUGUGAAGAAGGUCUUCGGAUUGUAAAGCACUUUAAGUUGGGAGGAAGGGUUGUAGAUUAAUACUCUGCAAUUUUGACGUUACCGACAGAAUAAGCACCGGCUAACUCUGUGCCAGCAGCCGCGGUAAUACAGAGGGUGCAAGCGUUAAUCGGAAUUACUGGGCGUAAAGCGCGCGUAGGUGGUUUGUUAAGUUGGAUGUGAAAUCCCCGGGCUCAACCUGGGAACUGCAUUCAAAACUGACUGACUAGAGUAUGGUAGAGGGUGGUGGAAUUUCCUGUGUAGCGGUGAAAUGCGUAGAUAUAGGAAGGAACACCAGUGGCGAAGGCGACCACCUGGACUAAUACUGACACUGAGGUGCGAAAGCGUGGGGAGCAAAC
This 741-nucleotide ribosomal RNA is filed under the name uncultured bacterium. Its description in RNAcentral is "bacterial SSU rRNA". It matches the Rfam family "Bacterial small subunit ribosomal RNA", at positions 37 to 773 of the family's 1533-position model. The record is from RNAcentral.